Molecule: ribosomal RNA, 333 nt
Filed under: uncultured bacterium
Lineage: Bacteria
Description: bacterial SSU rRNA
Rfam family: Bacterial small subunit ribosomal RNA
Source: RNAcentral
AGAGUUCGAUUCUGGCUCAGGACGAACGCUGGCGGCGCGCCUAACACAUGCAAGUCGAACGGAGUCAAGAGGAGCUUGCUUUUCUUGACUUAGUGGCGAACGGGUGAGUAACGCGUGAGUAACCUGCCCUGGAGUGGGGGACAACAGUUGGAAACGACUGCUAAUACCGCAUAAGCCCACGGCCCGGCAUCGGGCUGAGGGAAAAGGAUUUAUUCGCUUCAGGAUGGACUCGCGUCCAAUUAGCUAGUUGGUGAGGUAACGGCCCACCAAGGCGACGAUUGGUAGCCGGACUGAGAGGUUGAACGGCCACAUUGGGACUGAGACACGGCCCAG